This 3181-nucleotide long non-coding RNA is filed under the name Sus scrofa (pig). RNAcentral's name for it is "lncRNA (ENSSSCG00000056433.1)". Lineage: Eukaryota; Metazoa; Chordata; Mammalia; Artiodactyla; Suidae. The record is from RNAcentral.
CAUGAGGAGAAUUCGAAGGAAAUACAUAAGUCAAUCUUUGACACUCUUUAUAAGAACUGUAGAUAAUAUCCACAUUUUCUCAGACCAAGGACAGGUGAAGUUGUCUACAGACUGUUAUCACUCACAUACCACCCUCCAGGCUAAAAGAAAGACCACUGAGUUUGUCACAAACAGAGCUAUGAUUUGGGCAACCCUCACCCACCUAUGCCCAGCCCCACUGUAGCACUGGUUUCUCUGAAUUGUAAUACUUUGGUGACAAUUGUUCAUCUCUUUCAACAAACUACAAGUUUCUAAAACCAGGGAGGGUCUUAUUCAUCUUUUUAUUUUUCUUGUGCCUACCUUCAGUCUAAUUAUGUCAUAUAAAUCAGAAAUGAGAUGUCAGUUUAAGUUUAACCUUUGCAUUUAGAAGCUCCUUUGUCCUCUAUACCAUAUAUCUUGGAUACAAUCCAAUAAGUCAGAUUAUCUUCAGGAAUUAGGUAGAAUAGCUCAAGCAGUUUCUACAAGCAAGAUUUAGAAAAUCUCAUUUAACCUACCAUUAGUAUUUUUUUCAUGGAUAAUCCCCUCAUACCAAAAAAUGAAUUGCUGUAAUCCAUAUUGUCUUUCUUAAGGUCAAAAGGCUUUGGCUAUUUCAGUGGAACAAUAAACUGCUUUGUAAAGAGAAUAGUGGCAUAUGUUAGUCUACAGAUUAAGUAUAAAUUUUUAGCUGCUCUGAAUUUUAACAGCCCAAUUAACACGUGUCUUGCUGUUAGCCUUUUUAAAGAUACAAUCUAUUUACAUGUGUUCAUGUUUUGCAGUUGCUAUAGUUUGUCUAAGCCCAAGGAUUAUGUCAUUAAAACCAUUAUAGCAUUAUAAAGUGAUUUUGGUAUUAUGAACAGUCAGUGGCUUUGUAAACCACCAUUGACUUACAGUAGAAAAUCCAAGGUUUAGGGAUUUGCCAUUGAGUGGGAUGCUGAUAGUAAAAAAACAAAGUUGACAGAAGAGGAAGAGAGAACUUUUAAAUACCUGAAUAGAAUGAUUUGGAGCAGGGCUGCAGACAUUCAUUAGGAUUUUCUUAAAUCAAAUGCUUCUUCCCUAAAAACCUCAGCUACUAUAUUAGUUGCUGAGGGUUGCUAUAACAAAUUACCACAAACGAAGGGUUUAAGCAAUGGAAGGUUGUCUCACGUUUCUAGAGCUAGAUGUCCUAGAUCAAGGUGUCAGCUGGGCUGGUUCCUUCUGAGGGUUGUGAGAAAAAAAAAUCUAUUCCAUGUCUCCCUCCUGUCUAGUGGUUUGUCAGGAAUCUCUGGUGUUCCUUUCUUGUCAACACAUGACUCCAAUCUCUGAUAGUCACUUGGAGUUCUCCCUAUGUGUGUAUCUGUCUCCAAAUUUCCCCUUCUUAUAAAGACACCAGUCAUAUUGAAUAAGACUUGCCCUAAUGAACUCAUUUUAACUUGAGUACCUCUUGAAAGACUCUAUUUACAAAUAAAGCCACAUUCUGAGGUCUCAGGGGCUAAGACUUCAAGGAGAGGAAGUAAUUUCAAUGCAUAACUGCUAUAAAUACCCAAAACCCCACCCAACUUUAACAGUCAGACCCUUUUAACGCAUGUGGCUCUGGCUCUCUUCCCCAGAACAACUUACAAUGUCUUUCUUUUCUUUUUUUUUUUUUUUUUUUUUUUUUUUUUUUUUUUUUUUGGCAGUUCCUGUGGCAUGUGGAAGUUCUGGGCCAGGGAUCAAACCCAUGCCACAGCAGCAACCCAAACCACUGCAGUGACAACACUGGAUCCUUAAUCCACUUCACUGCAAGGAACCUCCCCACAAUCUUUUUCAAUGACACAUACUAGCCAAUGAAAAAUAAUUAACACUCCAGUGAACAUGGUUGAUUGGAAAAAAAAAUUGUUUCUCAAUUGUAUAUUUCAGAACUUCAGACACAAUUUUUUUUUAACAUAAGCAGGAAGCAAAAUUCCAACUGAAGGGAGAUCAUAGUUUGAUACAUUACCGCUCUCAACUUCCAUCUAGAAUUUCAAACAUCCUAUAAAAGAUACUGAAUUGUGUUGAAGUGCCUAGGACUGUUCUGAGCAUAUAUAAGAUGCUUAAUAAAUAUCAGUUAACUUUCUUUAAACAUAGCCAUUAUAAAUCCUAGGCUCAAGAAAUAACUUAUGUCUCUAUUGCCUACAAAUCAAACUACUUUCCUUACAAAAUCCCAUCCAUUGGGUCAGAAGGAAAUUCCAUCUUAAUGAGACUCUGAUUUUUUUUUUCCAUAGACACAUCUUGCUGAACUAUCCCCAUCUCAUCUGUCCAGGGUUAACUCUUUCUCAUUCAAAGGAAAACUUCUCCUUACCACAUUCUUUUCCAAGUCACAAUCUCUAACAUCAAAUAUUAUUUGAAAAAUAGAUUUUAUGCCACGGUAUACUUAGAAUGUGACUCCUCAGAAAUUAAAAAACUUGUUCUCCUUUCCUUCAGGACAAAAAGAUUUUAACAUUCAUAUCUCACGAGAAUGUAAAAAAAAAAAAAUUGCAUUUCAAUCUUCUAGUAAAUUAAAAAGAGGAGAGAAGACAAAAGAUUUAUGUUGCUGUAAUAAAAUUCACAUCCAGGCUAGACUAGACUGCAACUCACCUGAAGACAGGAAUUAGACCUGUUGAAUCCACAGCCUCAUGUACAGUGAGCUGAUAAAUGAAUGAAUGAAUAUAAGUAGUUUUUUAUUGAUAUGGACAUAGGAAAACCACCAUGUAUCCUGAUGAAAAACAUGGGAGGAAAGGAAAGAUAUUUUAGUUCAAAGGCUUAGAGUUUGUAGUGAGAAAAACCUACGUUAAAAUUCCAGUUCUUGCUAUUUCGUGCAUUUUGAACCUUGGUUCCUAUAGUUGUAAAAUGGAGAUAAAACCUUUCAGAAUUCAUGUGAAAUUUUGAGAUAAUUUAUCUCAAUUCGUUGUAUAUAAAAGUACUUCACAUAUGGGUAGUUGUGGUAUUUUUUUUUAUUGUUAUUCUUGGCUAUGCCCGCAGCGUGUCGUAGUUUCCAGACUAGGAAUAGAACCCACUCCAUAGCAAAGACCCAAGCCACAGUAGUGACAAUGAAGGAUCCUUAACCCACUGAGCCACCAGGGAACACCCAUGGUAUUUGUUAUUGUGGUUUUGUUGUUGCUGUUGUUUUACAUUCCCAACAAAUUCUAUAGAGCUUGGCACAUGGUUGCUGCUAAAUAAAAGCUUAACU